This 693-nucleotide ribosomal RNA is filed under the name uncultured Staphylococcus sp. RNAcentral describes it as "bacterial SSU rRNA". It matches the Rfam family "Bacterial small subunit ribosomal RNA", at positions 61 to 736 of the family's 1533-position model. Lineage: Bacteria; Bacillati; Bacillota; Bacilli; Caryophanales; Staphylococcaceae. The record is from RNAcentral.
GUCGAGCGAACGGACGAGAAGCUUGCUUCUCUGAUGUUAGCGGCGGACGGGUGAGUAACACGUGGAUAACCUACCUAUAAGACUGGGAUAACUUCGGGAAACCGGAGCUAAUACCGGAUAAUAUUUUGAACCGCAUGGUUCAAAAGUGAAAGACGGUCUUGCUGUCACUUAUAGAUGGAUCCGCGCUGCAUUAGCUAGUUGGUAAGGUAACGGCUUACCAAGGCAACGAUGCAUAGCCGACCUGAGAGGGUGAUCGGCCACACUGGAACUGAGACACGGUCCAGACUCCUACGGGAGGCAGCAGUAGGGAAUCUUCCGCAAUGGGCGAAAGCCUGACGGAGCAACGCCGCGUGAGUGAUGAAGGUCUUCGGAUCGUAAAACUCUGUUAUUAGGGAAGAACAUAUGUGUAAGUAACUGUGCACAUCUUGACGGUACCUAAUCAGAAAGCCACGGCUAACUACGUGCCAGCAGCCGCGGUAAUACGUAGGUGGCAAGCGUUAUCCGGAAUUAUUGGGCGUAAAGCGCGCGUAGGCGGUUUUUUAAGUCUGAUGUGAAAGCCCACGGCUCAACCGUGGAGGGUCAUUGGAAACUGGAAAACUUGAGUGCAGAAGAGGAAAGUGGAAUUCCAUGUGUAGCGGUGAAAUGCGCAGAGAUAUGGAGGAACACCAGUGGCGAAGGCGACUUUCUGGUCUG